CAGCCGCCACGGUAAUACGAGGGGGGCAAGCGUUGUUCGGAAUUAUUGGGCGUAAAGGGUGCGUAGGCGGCUUGGCAAGUCUUAUGUGAAAUCUUCGGGCUCAACCCGAAGUCUGCAUGAGAAACUGCCGGGCUUGAGUAUGGGAGAGGUGAGUGGAAUUUCCGGUGUAGCGGUGAAAUGCGUAGAUAUCGGAAGGAACACCAGUGGCGAAAGCGGCUCACUGGACCAUAACUGACGCUGAUGCACGAAAGCUAGGGGAGCAAACAGGAUUAGAUACCCCAGUAGUCCCUGUCUCUUAUAC
This 301-nucleotide ribosomal RNA is filed under the name uncultured bacterium. RNAcentral describes it as "partial 16S ribosomal RNA". It matches the Rfam family "Bacterial small subunit ribosomal RNA", at positions 509 to 807 of the family's 1533-position model. The record is from RNAcentral.